RNAcentral lists this ribosomal RNA (499 nucleotides) under uncultured bacterium. Its description in RNAcentral is "partial 16S ribosomal RNA". It matches the Rfam family "Bacterial small subunit ribosomal RNA", at positions 30 to 523 of the family's 1533-position model. The record is from RNAcentral.
AUUGAACGCUGGCGGCAUGCCUUACACAUGCAAGUCGAACGGCAGCACGGGAGCAAUCCUGGUGGCGAGUGGCGGACGGGUGAGUAAAGUAUCGGAACGUGCCCAGUCGUGGGGGAUAACGUAGCGAAAGUUACGCUAAUACCGCAUACGAUCUAUGGAUGAAAGCGGGGGAUCGCAAGACCUCGCGCGAUUGGAGCGGCCGGUAUCAGAUUAGGUAGUUGGCGGGGUAAAGGCUCACCAAGCCGACGAUCUGUAGCUGGUCUGAGAGGACGCCCAGCCACACUGGGACUGAGACGCGGCGCAGACUCCUACGGGAGGCAGCAGUGGGGAAUUUUGGACAAUGGCGAAAGCCUGAUCCAGCCAUGCCGCGUGCAGGAUGAAGGCCUUCGGGUUGUAAACUGCUUUUGUACGGAACGAAAAGGUUUGGCCUAAUAAGCUGAGCUCAUGACGGUACCGUAAGAAUAAACGCCGGCUAACUACGUGCCAGCCGCCGCGGUAA